AUCGCAGAUGCUCGGAGUGCUGGUGUGAUCCACUUCAAUGGCCGAGCAAAACCUUGGCUUGAUAUAGCGUUCCCUCAACUUCGAUCCCUGUGGACAAAAUACGUCAACUUCUCCGAUAAAUUUAUCACAACCUGUCAUAUAAGAGCUACUUAAAAUGAGGCAAGGGAUUUGUUAACCAUGUUGCUUGUAAUCAAGAAACAAAAUUUUGAGAGAGGUGAACCAUGUAUAGAAGGUCUCGCCACUCCCUGACGCGAGAUUGGCAACAGCUCCCGAGCUUAACAUUCUUGAACUCCUCAAAUCUACUAUGAUUUCUGGUUCAGCCAAUGUAUUUUAUACUGCAGUUACAAAUUAUACAAUGUACAUGGUGGAUUUUUCACCAAAAUUAUACCUGCAAUGACAAUAAAAAAGGAUACUCCUCCAAUGUAAUUUAUCUGGCGUAGUUCGACUGUAGAAGAAUGUCAUUAAGGGUAGAAUAGGAAGAUUGACAUAUAAUUGUUUUCAAAAUAUAGAAAGAUGUUAUUCUUUUCAGAAAAGACGAAUUAGGAAAUAAUGCCACAUAAAUCGAACGAAGGGAGUCUCGGCUCCCAUUCCAUGCUAAUUGAUAUGUAUGGAACUAACAACAACAUACCCAGUGUAACCCCACAGGUGGGCUCUAUGGAGGGUGGUGCGUUUGCAGCCUUAUCCUUACCUUGUGAAGGUAGAGACGCUGUUUACAAUAGACCGUCGGCUCGAGUAGAGUAUGAAAGGAACUAAGGAUCCUAAAGGAGAAUAAAUUACCAAAUAGACAAAAGGAAAGAACGAGUGCAGAGAAUGAACCUCACCCGCCCUUCUACCCUUCUCCACUUAAAUACUAGGCUUUUGUUUGUGAUAGGCUCGACUCCCUGAAUGACAGUGAUGAGCACUUAAU
This 907-nucleotide long non-coding RNA is filed under the name Capsicum annuum. RNAcentral's name for it is "long non-coding RNA (CANN_LNC015042)". The record is from RNAcentral. Lineage: Eukaryota; Viridiplantae; Streptophyta; Magnoliopsida; Solanales; Solanaceae.